This is a long non-coding RNA of Temnothorax curvispinosus, 817 nucleotides long. RefSeq lists it as uncharacterized. The record is from RefSeq and is a predicted model, not a curated record. NCBI's taxonomy places the organism in Eukaryota, Metazoa, Arthropoda, Insecta, Hymenoptera, Formicidae. The transcript is spliced from 3 exons.
CCACAUGACAGAAGAAGAAAUCAAUUGUAAUGCCAUAUGAAGAAAAUAUUGCGUCAAAAUGAAAACCGCUUUGAUGGUAACUGAAAAACCUUCUUUGGCAGCAUCCCUGGCUAAUAUAUUGAGUAAUGGACGAUGUAAUAUCAAAAAACGACUGAAUGGCUUUUGUUCCGUCCACGAAUGGGUAGGUCAAUUUAGAUCCGAGACUGUAAAUUUUAAAAUGACCUCUGUAUGUGAACACGUUAUGACAUUAGACUUUAUUGGAAAAUACAACAACUGAGACAAAGUAGAUCUGGAGACUUGUGAGUUAUGCGAAGCAAUUGAUACUAUUAAGGUUCAUUGGUCAUAUGAAGUUUGCACACGUCAAGCUUGACAUCCUAAAGAUCACAAGACCACAUAUUGCGGACAAGAUGAUGCCUAAUCAGGAUACAGCCACGAAAAAGAAUGAUAUGCGCAUGGCAGAGAAAUUAGCGCUAUUCACAGGCCUUGUAAGCAUAUUUAGUAACAACGAAGAUUCUUUGAAUUGAGCUCUGUCUUAAAAUCGCAUCAAUUGAAGUGAAUCCACUGCUGAGUGCUGAAAUUAUACGAUUUUAUCCGUCACAACAAAUAGACAAAGAGGAAUGCUUUUUCCAGUCGAUGGUCUCAAAUGUUGCUGACGUAUCUAUUUCGUUGCAAAUGCAUCAUUAUGAAAUGAUGAUUGGUAGUAAAUGAGAGAUAUGUUGUGAAUUAAAAAGAUGUCUAUCUUUGUAUGAUUACAAACUAUUUGCAUCUAAUUUUUUAGUGACAAUGUCCGAAUAAUUUGCGUUAGUAUUUCUGUGUA